UACAGAGGUGGCAAGCGUUGUUCGGAAUUACUGGGCGUAAAGCGCGUGUAGGCGGCUCUUCAAGUCAGACGUGAAAUCCCUCGGCUUAACCGGGGAACUGCAUCUGAUACUGGAUGGCUUGAGUUCGGGAGAGGGAUGCGGAAUUCCAGGUGUAGCGGUGAAAUGCGUAGAUAUCUGGAGGAACACCGGUGGCGAAGGCGGCAUCCUGGACCGACACUGACGCUGAGGAGCGAAAGCCAGGGGAGCAAACGGG
RNAcentral lists this ribosomal RNA (253 nucleotides) under uncultured bacterium. Its description in RNAcentral is "partial 16S ribosomal RNA". It matches the Rfam family "Bacterial small subunit ribosomal RNA", at positions 524 to 776 of the family's 1533-position model. The record is from RNAcentral.